UCCGGUUUGUCACCGGCAGUCUCGUAUGAGUCCCCAACUAAAUGCUGGCAACAUACGACGGGGGUUGCGCUCGUUGCGGGACUUAACCCAACCCCUCACGGCACGAGCUGACGACAGCCAUGCAGCACCUGUGCUAGCUCCCCGAAGGGUCCUUCACGUUUCUGAUCCGUACCACUAGCAUGUCAAGCCCAGGUAAGGUUCUUCGCGUUGCGUCGAAUUAAACCACAUGCUCCGCUGCUUGUGCGGGUCCCCGUCAAUUCCUUUGAGUUUUAGCCUUGCGGCCGUACUCCCCAGGCGGGGCACUUAAUGCGUUAGCGUCGGCACGGGAGGAGUCGACACCUCCCACACCUAGUGCCCAUCGUUUACGGCGUGGACUAC
Molecule: unclassified non-coding RNA, 378 nt
Filed under: uncultured Thermoleophilia bacterium
Lineage: Bacteria; Bacillati; Actinomycetota; Thermoleophilia
Description: contains 16S-23S intergenic spacer region
Source: RNAcentral